GGGGAAUAUUGCACAAUGGGCGGAAGCCUGAUGCAGCGACGCCGCGUGAGGGAUGAAGGCCUUCGGGUUGUAAACCUCUUUCAGCAGGGACGAAGCGUGAGUGACGGUACCUGCAGAAGAAGCACCGGCUAACUACGUGCCAGCAGCCGCGGUAAUACGUAGGGUGCGAGCGUUGUCCGGAAUUACUGGGCGUAAAGAGUUCGUAGGCGGUUUGUCGCGUCGUUUGUGAAAACCCGGGGCUCAACUUCGGGCUUGCAGGCGAUACGGGCAGACUUGAGUGUUUCAGGGGAGACUGGAAUUCCUGGUGUAGCGGUGAAAUGCGCAGAUAUCAGGAGGAACACCGGUGGCGAAGGCGGGUCUCUGGGAAACAACUGACGCUGAGGAACGAAAGCGUGGGUAGCAAAC
This 405-nucleotide ribosomal RNA is filed under the name uncultured bacterium. Its description in RNAcentral is "bacterial SSU rRNA". It matches the Rfam family "Bacterial small subunit ribosomal RNA", at positions 356 to 773 of the family's 1533-position model. The record is from RNAcentral.